GAGUUUGAUCGUGGCUCAGGACGAACGCUGGCGGCGUGCUUAACACAUGCAAGUCGAACGGUAAGGCUCCAGCUUGCUGGGGUACACGAGUGGCGAACGGGUGAGUAACACGUGGGUGACCUGCCCUGCACUUCGGGAUAAGCCUGGGAAACUGGGUCUAAUACCGGAUAGGACCGCACCGUGAGGGUGUGGUGGAAAGUUUUUUCGUGU
RNAcentral lists this ribosomal RNA (210 nucleotides) under uncultured microorganism. Its description in RNAcentral is "partial 16S ribosomal RNA". It matches the Rfam family "Bacterial small subunit ribosomal RNA", at positions 9 to 221 of the family's 1533-position model. The record is from RNAcentral.